AUUAUUUCCUGGCCUUUUGGCUAAGAUCAAGUGUAGCAUCCGUUCUUAUUAGUUUAAUACCUGAUAUGUCCUAUCUCCAAGGACAAUAUAGUAAAUCCAAGGAUUUUUGGAGCAGGGAGACAGAAUAGGAGCUCACUCCAUCUACUUCAUGCAUCUACCUGGUUUUGUAGUACUUCCUGGAAUGGUUCACCCCCU
This 195-nucleotide small nuclear RNA is filed under the name Neogale vison (American mink). RNAcentral describes it as "Neovison vison (American mink) U2 spliceosomal RNA (ENSNVIG00000020243.1)". It matches the Rfam family "U2 spliceosomal RNA". From Rfam's summary of the family: U2 is a small nuclear RNA (snRNA) component of the spliceosome (involved in pre-mRNA splicing). Lineage: Eukaryota; Metazoa; Chordata; Mammalia; Carnivora; Mustelidae. The record is from Rfam by way of RNAcentral.